Molecule: ribosomal RNA, 619 nt
Filed under: Microbacterium sp.
Lineage: Bacteria; Bacillati; Actinomycetota; Actinomycetes; Micrococcales; Microbacteriaceae
Description: bacterial SSU rRNA
Rfam family: Bacterial small subunit ribosomal RNA
Source: RNAcentral
CUCGCGGCCUAUCAGCUUGUUGGUGAGGUAAUGGCUCACCAAGGCGUCGACGGGUAGCCGGCCUGAGAGGGUGACCGGCCACACUGGGACUGAGACACGGCCCAGACUCCUACGGGAGGCAGCAGUGGGGAAUAUUGCACAAUGGGCGCAAGCCUGAUGCAGCAACGCCGCGUGAGGGACGACGGCCUUCGGGUUGUAAACCUCUUUUAGCAGGGAAGAAGCGAAAGUGACGGUACCUGCAGAAAAAGCACCGGCUAACUACGUGCCAGCAGCCGCGGUAAUACGUAGGGUGCAAGCGUUAUCCGGAAUUAUUGGGCGUAAAGAGCUCGUAGGCGGUUUGUCACGUCUGCUGUGAAAACUGGAGGCUCAACCUCCAGCCUGCAGUGGGUACGGGCAGACUAGAGUGCGGUAGGGGAGAUUGGAAUUCCUGGUGUAGCGGUGGAAUGCGCAGAUAUCAGGAGGAACACCGAUGGCGAAGGCAGAUCUCUGGGCCGUAACUGACGCUGAGGAGCGAAAGGGUGGGGAGCAAACAGGCUUAGAUACCCUGGUAGUCCACCCCGUAAACGUUGGGAACUAGUUGUGGGGUCCAUUCCACGGAUUCCGUGACGCAGCUAACGCA